AUCUCUAUGAAGAUUGAGUACUAUUUGAGGAACGUAGAUACCAACUGGGUGAAAUUGUCGAUUGAAUUUUCUUCUAGUCCUGCGAACCACUCGAGCGAGGCCCGAUGAGGUUCUCGGCGAAGAAGCGGCGGUAACCUGCUUCUUUUUCAUCGUCGGUGAGGUGUGCUCUUGAUAUUGCUAAACGGAAGGCUCGUACAUGGGCCUUCGGGUCUGUGUUUCUGGCGUAUUCGGGGAAUUUCAGUUUCCCGACGUGAUGCAGCCUUACGCUGGCAAGUUUGUUUGUGAAUGGAGUCCUUCUCGUUUCCUCGAUGACCAUGUUGAUAUCCGGGGCAGAGCUUGUUGCCAUAUGCACGAUCGCAUGUAUCCUUUUGAGCUCGGCGUCGUUCCUUUCGAUAUAAUUAUGAAACGUCCCAGUUUCGGUCGGGAUCCCUAAGUCUUCCCUUUGGGGGUCGAUAUUGACGGGACCGCGAAGAUCAUGUCUCCGAGCUUGUUCCGUUAGGUUAUCGAAUCCCGUUUGAUGAAAGGUCCUCGUUGCGGAUGGAGUUCGAUUCUCGGAGAUAGAAUUGUUCGGUGGUGGGAUCCGUGUCCUUGGUUCCCCCUUCCUUUCCGUUGAUCCGUUCCGGAAUUGGAUCGGAGUGCUUCGUGGGCGUUGGAGCCCAGUGUCGAUUUCGUCCAAUCCACUGUAGCUUAAGCUUCGGUGGGUCAUGCCUUGCGGUGGGGGUCAUUGUGAAUUUUCUCUCGUGUAGCGUCCAGAUCGAGCGCUCGGGAUCUCUGGAGUACCGAACAGUCCGGUUCUUUGGGGGUUUGAUGUCGCUCUUAACGGAUCGAGGAGCGUUUGAUUUCUUUCUCGAGUGUUUGCAGCUCGAUGCUCUGCGAGUUCCCUUUCAGCUUGGUCCAGUCUGUUAGCAAUGGUUUGAUUGGCGAUCCUUUGGCUAUGAAUUUCGUCGAUUAGAGUUGUCAUCAUUCCUCGAAGUUCGGUUAAUUCUCCUCGAGUUUGGGCUAGAGGAGUCGGCAAACUCGGUCUGGAUUGGGAUCAUGUUAGGUCAUCAUAGGCUUGUCUGUCUCUGGGACGGUUCCAGACUCGAGCUCCAGCUCGUUCCGGGAUUGACGUCUGGUUGAUCAGAAGAGAUCGAUCUUGACUCGAAGUCCCGAUUGGAGGAAUUCGUUGCGUCUGGGCUGUUUCGGUCGCGUCAUUGGUUCCCGUUAACCCAGUUGGUGUCACUCCAGUUCCCGAGUCGGGUCCGACAGGAUCGAUGUCGUUGACUCUUGACGGCGCGGUUCCGGUGGUUUGGUUAGGAUCUAUAGUCGCGCUUAGGAAACUUAGAUCGGUUUUUUAGCAAAGAUAUUUUUCGUUUAUCUUCCCCACAGUCGGCGCCAAAAUGUAGAACCUAAAAUCUACACUAAGUAUUUGAUUGUGAUCAGGAGUUUGAUCUAGGGAAGACAAAAGAUGUAGGCAAUGAUAUCUUUAGAACACAACGAUGUUAACAGUUUCCAGUAGGCAAAAAUAGACUUUAUUGAUGAAUAGGAUCGAAUACAAUAAGUUGAACUAGAUCGAAUUACACAAAUGAGAUCGGUAAAGAAAAUGAUCUAAGAACAGGAGAAAACAAGGUCGAUGUAUGUGUGUAGCUCUCUCUAGGUUUUUCAACGUGUCCUUCUUCACGUUCCUUCUUCUUCCUUUAUAGUGUGCCAACUUCGGGAUCUUCGUAACUGCUCCGAGAUCUCCGUCUCUUGUUCCACGAUCUCCGCGACCUCGAUGACUCCUCCUCGAGCUCGACUAUUUGUUAUGGGCUUCAGCUCCCCUAAGGCCCAUGUCUUUGAUCGCGGUCCGUUAAGGUAUUACCGAAAAUUGGGUCCAACAGACAUGGUAUUUCGAGAUGCUCAAAACUGCUAUACCAGACUCUUCCGAAUUAGUGUUUAUGAGCGAUGGAAACCAGAGCCUCAUCGCGGCUGUAGCUAAUGUGUUUCCACGGUCUCACCAUGGCCAUUGUAUAUGGCAUUUGGCUCAGAAUGUGAGAGGGCAUGCUGUAAUACCAGCAAAGCCAUAGUCGCAUGGAAAUUUAUGAAGUUGGCAAGGUAUUACACAUUGGCUGAGUUCGAAUCUGCUUACGCAUCUUUUAAGGUGAGAUUUCCUUCAACGUUUAUGUAUGUGGAGGAGCAUACUGAGAAAGACACAUGGGCUAGGGUUUAUUUCCCAUGUGACAAAUACAACUUGGACACUAGCAACAGUGUUGAGUCAAUGAACAGCGUGUUUAAGGAGGCAAGGAGGUAUGCCUUAAUACCAAUGUUGGAUACGAUCAUCAAAAAAAUUUCGGACUGGUUUAAUGAACAUCGGAAGGACGCUGCGUCUGGAUCGAUGGAUACCAAACUGGUUCCUCUUGUCGAGAUUCACUUGCAUAACCUAUGGGGCAAAGAUGAGAAAACACCAAUGCGUGAGCUAAAUAGUUAUGAGCUUGAGUACGAAGUAACUGACACUGAUGAUGGGAAGAAUUAUGCUGUGAACUUGAUAGCGAAGAGCUGUACCUGCAAGGUGUAUGUUUAUGAGAAGUGUCCUUGUUUGCACGGACUUGCUGCUUACUUAUAUUUUCUUGAGGUUGAUGCUGCUCCUGGUCGUCGACGUGAGGUCAAGUUAGAGUAUCAUGAGUUGUGCUCAAAAUAUUACUGGACGGAACUUUGGGCAUUGGUUUAUUACAAGACCAUUUAUUCUGUGCCGAACAAGUCUGAUUGGAAUGUACCAGAUCACAUCAAAGAGCUUCAGAUCAUACCUCCGGAUCGCCUCAAGAGAAAGGGAAAGAAAAAGGAUAAGAGGAAUCCAUCUGUUGGAGAACGGCAUAAAAGAACACAAAACAUAAGGCGACCAAGGCAAAAUUUUGGUUUGAAUUGGCUAUUGUUUGGAGACCAACGUUAUCCGACUGAAUGAAUUUUUUUGGGUUUUGGAAGGCAUCGUCUCCAGUAUGUUUGAUUUUUAUCGGUUUUGUAUUUUUUAAAACUUUGGAAUACUACGUCUUCUAGUAAAACUUUGUAAUGGUAUUCUUUGCCGACAAGUAUGUUUGAAAGUAAAUUAGUAUUCAAUUUUUGAUAGAACACAUAUUCCUAAUUUUUGAUAGAACACAUAUUCCUACUGAAAAUAUAUUAGUGAAAAUAACAUAUAUUUAAAAUAACAUGUAGUAAAAAGCUCAUAGUUUCACAUUUUCUCUUGUACAUUUCAUUGUCUUUCGGAGAACACUUUCUUAGUAAGAUCAACUUAUAAAGGAGUAUUCUACAAAAAUCUUGAUUUCAAACAUAUUAUUUCACUAAUCACAAAUGCUUACAUGGUAAUGCAAAAAUGAAAAGUAAAACUUUGAUCAAAAAUUAAAAAUAUACGUAAAACUAAAAAAAAUAGAAAUCUCAAAAAAUAAAACUAUGAAGAAGAUUGGUAAAACUAGAAACUUCUGUAUAACUAAGAGCAAAUGUUUUGGGGGGGGGGGGGGGAAAUAAAAAUUAUUUUCGCGCCUAUACGUAAAAACCCCAAAAAUUCAACUAUUUGGGUCAAAAAGUUGAUUCCCCUACUCAGUUUUCCAGUCGUAUCUCUCACUUUCCCAAGAACUCUCUCUCUCUCUAUUCUAUCUUCUAUUUAUCUUCUUUUCCUUUCACUCUCACCCAUUCAUUCACAUAUCUCUUUCUCCUUCCUCUGUCUCUCUUUCACUCUUUUUGACGCUCUUUCCCUUCCCCGAACAGAGACCUUCCCUUUGCAUCAUGACUCAUCCGCAUGAGGAGAUGAGGGAGAUGGAGGAGUUGAAGAACCACUACGACAUGAUAGGGUUCAUUGCUGAUGCCCAAUACGGGAUUCCAACCCGUUGCCCAUGUGGAGGUGAAAUCAUGAAGGAUGCUUCUCCAAAUCCGAAGUAUCCAUCAGAUUUCGAUACUUUACCUGGGCGUAGGUACUUAUCCUGCAAGAGAUACAAGGACGAUGGGAUGCACUUUCGUCAGCCAUGGGUUUUCGGUGUUGAGGAAGAAGUUCGAAGCCUAAGGAGGGAGGUGGAUGAUAUGGCUGCAGAGAUUGCAAAGCUUAAGAGGCUAAUUACCCGUCCAUGAGAUUCUCGAUUCUAUGUUCUUGGUUUUAUAUGAGUUUGUGUUACAAACUUUGUCUUUGUUAUCUUGAUUUCGGAAAAUACAAGUCUUUGUUUGAUAAGACUUGUAUGGGUUUAUGUGUUAAAACUUAUGUUAUCUUAUCGAUCACUUAUGAUAUGUGUUAUGUUAAA
This is an RNA transcript of Brassica napus (rape), 4238 nucleotides long. RefSeq lists it as uncharacterized. Lineage: Eukaryota; Viridiplantae; Streptophyta; Magnoliopsida; Brassicales; Brassicaceae. The transcript is spliced from 2 exons. The record is from RefSeq and is a predicted model, not a curated record.